This 77-nucleotide transfer RNA is filed under the name marine sediment metagenome. Its description in RNAcentral is "tRNA-Arg". It matches the Rfam family "tRNA". From Rfam's summary of the family: Transfer RNA (tRNA) molecules are approximately 80 nucleotides in length. The record is from RNAcentral.
GCUCCCGUGGUCUAAUAGGAAAGGCGCUGCUCUUCUAAAGCAGUUAAUUGCAGGUUCGAAUCCUGCCGGGAGUACCA